This 467-nucleotide ribosomal RNA is filed under the name uncultured bacterium. Its description in RNAcentral is "partial 16S ribosomal RNA". It matches the Rfam family "Bacterial small subunit ribosomal RNA", at positions 29 to 507 of the family's 1533-position model. The record is from RNAcentral.
ACGAACGCUGGCGGCGUGCUUAACACAUGCAAGUCGAACGGAAAGGCCCUGCUUUUGUGGGGUGCUCGAGUGGCGAACGGGUGAGUAACACGUAAGUAACCUCCCCUUGACUUUGGGAUAACUUCAGGAAACUGGGGCUAAUACCGGAUAGGAGCUCCUGCUGCAUGGUGGGGGUUGGAAAGUUUCGGCGGUUGGGGAUGGACUCGCGGCUUAUCAGCUUGUUGGUGGGGUAGUGGCUUACCAAGGCUUUGACGGGUAGCCGGCCUGAGAGGGUGACCGGCCACAUUGGGACUGAGAUACGGCCCAGACUCCUACGGGAGGCAGCAGUGGGGAAUAUUGCACAAUGGGCGGAAGCCUGAUGCAGCAACGCCGCGUGCGGGAUGACGGCCUUCGGGUUGUAAACCGCUUUCGCCUGUGACGAAGCGUGAGUGACGGUAAUGGGUAAAGAAGCACCGGCUAACUACGUG